This 444-nucleotide long non-coding RNA is filed under the name Nicotiana benthamiana. RNAcentral describes it as "long non-coding RNA (NBEN_LNC016670)". The record is from RNAcentral. Lineage: Eukaryota; Viridiplantae; Streptophyta; Magnoliopsida; Solanales; Solanaceae.
AAAUUAAAACUGUAGUGUGUCUGCUAGAAACUCAUGCAUAUGUGAGUGAGAUGUUAGAAAUGUUAGAUUGAAUGCUCAAGAAUCAAAAUUGAAUUGAGUGUAUUAUUGCUUGCCCGCAAUUGAGACGAGUUGUUCAACUCAUGAAGAAGAAGAGUUUGACAUGGAUUGUUGAGAAAUGACACCGAAAAAUAACAACAAUAAUAAUACUGUAAUAAUAUUAUUUGUGAACGGAAAUACUCCAACUGGCUUGAGUCGUGAUAGGUAUUGUCCUAAGAAAUUAUUUCAGCAAUGUGAAAUAUUUCUCCAGGAUUAAACAAGCAUACUAUAUUAAAGAGGAUAUAGGAAUCAGCAAAAUAUUAAUUUUUAAAUUCAGAAAUUUAAAAAAAAGAAUAAUACCAACUAAUAUUAAAUAUUUGAAAGAGAGAGGAGAGACGUAUGAGAAUG